AUUGAACGCUGGCGGCAGGCCUAACACAUGCAAGUCGAGCGGAUGAGAGGAGCUUGCUCCUCGAUUCAGCGGCGGACGGGUGAGUAAUGCCUAGGAAUCUGCCCAGUAGUGGGGGACAACGUUUCGAAAGGAACGCUAAUACCGCAUACGUCCUACGGGAGAAAGUGGGGGAUCUUCGGACCUCACGCUAUUGGAUGAGCCUAGGUCGGAUUAGCUAGUUGGUAGGGUAAAGGCCUACCAAGGCGACGAUCCGUAACUGGUCUGAGAGGAUGAUCAGUCACACUGGAACUGAGACACGGUCCAGACUCCUACGGGAGGCAGCAGUGGGGAAUAUUGGACAAUGGGCGCAAGCCUGAUCCAGCCAUGCCGCGUGUGUGAAGAAGGCCCUCGGGUCGUAAAGCACUUUAAGUUGGGAGGAAGGGCUUACAGCGAAUACCUGUGAGUUUUGACGUUACCGACAGAAUAAGCACCGGCUAACUUCGUGCCAGCCGCCGCCGUAA
This 500-nucleotide ribosomal RNA is filed under the name uncultured bacterium. RNAcentral's name for it is "partial 16S ribosomal RNA". It matches the Rfam family "Bacterial small subunit ribosomal RNA", at positions 30 to 523 of the family's 1533-position model. The record is from RNAcentral.